Hyalella azteca is the source of this 308-nucleotide long non-coding RNA. RefSeq lists it as uncharacterized. The transcript is spliced from 3 exons. The record is from RefSeq and is a predicted model, not a curated record. Lineage: Eukaryota; Metazoa; Arthropoda; Malacostraca; Amphipoda; Hyalellidae.
AGCUGCUGCAACGCUUUACUGAACGUCUUCCUCACUGAAGCUGAAGUGAGACGUACACUGGGGUUGGGCACGGCGCUGUACUACGUACGCGACGGCGUCACCAACGACUACGCCAUGAGCUGGACGGUGCCAGUCGCUGCCGACGUCUCGACGCUGUACUUCACGUGGCAUGACUCUGCCGCCAGGCCGGUGCUCUACAACUUAGCGGUGACCGCUCACGACGCAGAGCUGGCAGCUUCUGAGGAGGUGUCCACGCAGGAAGACGGACGCAGCGACCAUCGUUCUAGUCCCUUCCCCACCACAGCCUC